GGUAAAAUGGCUGAGAUUAAGCGAUAAAYUGUAAAUUUAUUUACGAAUAUAAGAUUCUUUUAUCA
RNAcentral lists this transfer RNA (65 nucleotides) under Coleoptera sp. 6 KM-2017. Its description in RNAcentral is "tRNA-Tyr". It matches the Rfam family "tRNA". Rfam says of the family: Transfer RNA (tRNA) molecules are approximately 80 nucleotides in length. Their secondary structure includes four short double-helical elements and three loops (D, anti-codon, and T loops). The record is from RNAcentral. Lineage: Eukaryota; Metazoa; Arthropoda; Insecta; Coleoptera.